Molecule: ribosomal RNA, 497 nt
Filed under: uncultured bacterium
Lineage: Bacteria
Description: partial 16S ribosomal RNA
Rfam family: Bacterial small subunit ribosomal RNA
Source: RNAcentral
GAUGAACGCUGGCGGCGUGCCUAAUACAUGCAAGUCGAGCGAACGGACGAGAAGCUUGCUUCUCUGAUGUUAGCGGCGGACGGGUGAGUAACACGUGGAUAACCUACCUAUAAGACUGGGAUAACUUCGGGAAACCGGAGCUAAUACCGGAUAAUAUUUUGAACCGCAUGGUUCAAAAGUGAAAGACGGUCUUGCUGUCACUUAUAGAUGGAUCCGCGCUGCAUUAGCUAGUUGGUAAGGUAACGGCUUACCAAGGCAACGAUGCAUAGCCGACCUGAGAGGGUGAUAGGCCACACUGGAGCUGGGACACGGUCCAGACUCCUACGGGAGGCAGCAGUAGGGAAUCUUACGCAAUGGGCGAAAGCCUGACGGAGCAACGCCGCGUGAGUGAUGAAGGUCUUCGGAUCGUAAAACUCUGUUAUUAGGGAAGAACAUAUGUGUAAGUAACUGUGCACAUCUUGACGGUACCUAAUCAGAAAGCCACGGCUAACUACGUG